UCUGAGUCGAAGGCGCUGAGGUCACCACACGCCAGAAAGGGGACGAUGACGCGGUUCGGACCCUCUAACUGGUUAAAGUCCACAUCUGCAGGACAAAGACCAGAACGAACUGAGACCAGAACCAGGACAUGCAGAUCACAUAUAUAAAAGAGCUCUGAGUUACCGUAGGAAUGAUCCAGCAGAGGGUUGGACAUGUUGGGGACGUAACCUUCAGGAGGAGAGUAAUUCUGACACACCACGAAGGCCUCUGCACACAGACACACACACAGAUACAUUCCGGUGUUGACGAUGGAAAGGACCCCUGCCGACAGCUGUCCCCGCAGCGCCUGUUCAAAAUGGCGUGAUGACCCGCCACCUCUGCUUAAUGACAAAUACCGUGUUUCCAGGUUUCUGUCUUCUCAGUAGCGGCCACGCGGGGUCGCUGCAGACACACGAAACUGGUUUCUAUACAACAAACAUGUAAACCCCUUGAAGAAUAUCACAGAAAAUAUCACUGAUAAAUUCAAGUAAAAUUUGGUUUUUAUUGUUAUGUAUGAAA
Non-coding RNA from Epinephelus lanceolatus (giant grouper), 538 nucleotides. The record is from RefSeq and is a predicted model, not a curated record. Lineage: Eukaryota; Metazoa; Chordata; Actinopteri; Perciformes; Serranidae.